AUCGGCGGCAGCGGCGGUGGGAAUGAUUAGGCAGGAUUUACUGUCGCUCCUCUGCCCUCCCCUCCUCCUGCAGCAGAGCCAGGUUUGCGGCACUUCAGAGUGUGGAGCUCAGCAAAGAAAUGCUGUCUGCAUGAAAACACCUCGAACCGUGGACGAUAUCCACUCGAUGUGUCCAAGUCAGGCCACCGAAGCCUCCUAAGACUCUAGUUCGCAGGAAAAGAGUACUACACCGAUUCCUAGGACAUUUCGUGGAGGGGUGGGGCAUGACCCAAGGAUUUAAUUUUGAAGUGGAACCGGAUCAACAAGGAGCCAGGAUUUUUUUUUCUCACUUUCUUCAACAUGAAAUUGAGCAUUAGCCUCGGUGGAGGGAUGAGCCGUCCAAGUGGCCUUCGAGUUUCAAGUGCCCUGACAUGUUUUGCCGUCUGCAAUGGAAA
This is a long non-coding RNA of Platichthys flesus (European flounder), 434 nucleotides long. RefSeq lists it as uncharacterized. The record is from RefSeq and is a predicted model, not a curated record. Lineage: Eukaryota; Metazoa; Chordata; Actinopteri; Pleuronectiformes; Pleuronectidae. The transcript is spliced from 3 exons.